AAUCUGCCUUCAGGAUGGGGACAACAGCGAGAAAUCGGUGCUAAAACCCAAUGUGCCGAAAGGUGAAAUACUUGUAGCCUGAAGAGGAGCUCGCGUCCGAUUAGUUAGUUGGUGGGGUAAGAGCCUACCAAGGCAGCGAUCGGUAGCUGGUCUGAGAGGAUGAGCAGCCACACUGGGACUGAGACACGGCCCAGACUCCUACGGGAGGCAGCAGUGGGGAAUUUUCCGCAAUGGGCGAAAGCCUGACGGAGCAAUACCGCGUGAGGGAGGAAGGUUUUUGGAUUGUAAACCUCUUUUUUAAAGGAAGAAGCAAGUGACGGUACUUUAAGAAUCAGCAUCGGCUAACUCCGUGCCAGCAGCCGCGGUAAUACGGAGGAUGCAAGCGUUAUCCGGAAUCAUUGGGCGUAAAGCGUCCGCAGGUGGCUGUUCAAGUCUGCUGUUAAAGACAGAAGCUCAACUUCUGAAAAGCAGUGGAAACUGGACGGCUAGAGUACGGUAGGGGUUGAGGGAAUUCCCAGUGUAGCGGUGAAAUGCGUAGAUAUUGGGAAGAACACCAGUGGCGAAGGCGCUCAACUGGGCCGUAACUGACACUCAGGGACGAAAGCUAGGGUAGCG
RNAcentral lists this ribosomal RNA (615 nucleotides) under uncultured cyanobacterium. RNAcentral describes it as "bacterial SSU rRNA". It matches the Rfam family "Bacterial small subunit ribosomal RNA", at positions 123 to 770 of the family's 1533-position model. Lineage: Bacteria; Bacillati; Cyanobacteriota. The record is from RNAcentral.